AUUGAACGCUGGCGGCAGGCCUAACACAUGCAAGUCGAACGGUAACAGGAAGAAGCUUGCUUCUUUGCUGACGAGUGGCGGACGGGUGAGUAAUGUCUGGGAAACUGCCUGAUGGAGGGGGAUAACUACUGGAAACGGUAGCUAAUACCGCAUAACGUCGCAAGACCAAAGAGGGGGACUUCGGGGCCCCUUCCCAUCGGAUUGGCCCAGAUGGGAUUAGCUAGUAGGUGGGGUAACGGCUCACCUAGGCGACGAUCCCUAGCUGGUCUGAGAGGAUGACCAGCCACACUGGAACUGAGACACGGUCCAGGCUCCUACGGGAGGCAGCAGUGGGGAAUAUUGCACAAUGGGCGCAAGCCUGAUGCAGCCAUGCCGCGUGUAUGAAGAAGGCCUUCGGGUUGUAAAGUACUUUCAGCGGGGAGGAAGGGAGUAAAGUUAAUACCUUUACUCAUUGACGUUACCCGCAGAAGAAGCACCGGCUAACUCCGUG
RNAcentral lists this ribosomal RNA (490 nucleotides) under uncultured bacterium. RNAcentral's name for it is "partial 16S ribosomal RNA". It matches the Rfam family "Bacterial small subunit ribosomal RNA", at positions 30 to 507 of the family's 1533-position model. The record is from RNAcentral.